RNAcentral lists this microRNA precursor (49 nucleotides) under Hydra vulgaris (swiftwater hydra). RNAcentral describes it as "Hvu-Novel-4_pre stem-loop". The record is from RNAcentral. Lineage: Eukaryota; Metazoa; Cnidaria; Hydrozoa; Anthoathecata; Hydridae.
UGAAAAUGUUAUCCAAUGAGCCUGAGGCUUGCUGGAUAACAUUUUCAGA